This is a non-coding RNA of Artibeus jamaicensis (Jamaican fruit-eating bat), 1331 nucleotides long. The record is from the annotation of a RefSeq genome assembly. NCBI's taxonomy places the organism in Eukaryota, Metazoa, Chordata, Mammalia, Chiroptera, Phyllostomidae.
CUUCAGCUGUGGGGUUACAGAAGGCAAGACUCAGGGAUGGUCUUCACCAUGGCCUGGUCCCCUCUCCUGCUCACACUCCUGUCCCACUGCACAGGAUCCUGGGCCCAGUCUGUGCUGACUCAGCUGCCUUCCCUGUCUGGGAACCUAGGACAAAGAGUCACCAUCUCCUGCACUGGAAGCAGCUCCAACAUCGGGGGUAAUUAUGUGUACUGGUACCAACAGCUUCCAGGAAAACCCCCUAAAACUGUCAUCUAUGGUACUAACAGGCGACCCUCAGGGGUCCCUGAUCGAUUCUCUGGCUCCAAGUCUGGGACCUCGGGCUCCCUGACCAUCACUGGGCUCCAGGCUGAAGACGAGGCCAAUUAUUACUGUGCAGCAUGGGACGAUAGUCUCAAUGGUCCCACAGUGCUGCAGGCCUGUGGGGAAGUGAGACAAGAACUCCUGUGGCAUCUGUGAGCUGGGUGAACACUGUAGCCCCUUCUGCUCAGCCUCAGCCUGUGCCCUGUGACUUCUGCUCAUUGCCUGGCUGUUGUCCUGGUCCCAGGUUCCCCCAGGAACACUGUCUGGCAUUGAAGGAUGCUUCUCUCCCCUUCUGUCCUCAGUCACUCACAGCAGCCCUGUCCCACACUAAGGGUCCUAAAUGAAAAGGAAAGUCCAUUUUCUCACAAGACGAAGACAGUUUACUUUCAGACUGUUUUAUGUUCAUUUUUCCUUGUAAUGGUAACAAAAACACAAUGUUGUGCAGAGUCUGUGAAAGUAUUAUAGGCCCUCAGCAUUGUGCUUCCUGAGCGUGAAGGACAAAUCAGCUGUUUGCAUCUCAUUAUAAUGUCCUUUAGUGUAAUCAGUGCUGACUGCUUUGUUUUGUCUUCUGAUAUUUAGUGCAAAGAUGGCCAUUUCGAGGUGUAAAAUUAUACCAGAUUGGUGGUUUCCAGAGGUGGGUGAUGAAGGGGGUGGCCAAUGUGGGUCAAGGGAGUGAAAGGGGACCAACUUCUGGGUUUGAAAUGAAUGGAUUUGGGGAAGUCAUGAACAGCAUGGGGAUGAGGACAGAGAUGUUCUGAUCGUGAGGCUGUGAAUGCAGCUAAAUGAGCAGACCUUGAACAUUUGCAGCAGAAGAAAUGAUACAAAUUGUUACCAUGUGUAGUGAUGGAAAUCAACUAGGCUUAUUCUGGUGAUGAUUCUGCAAUAUAUAUCAGCACAGAAUGAUGAUCUCUUACACCUAAAAUGAAUAAAAUGUUGAAUAUCAAUUCACAGCAAUUAAAAUAACAUAAUUACUAAAUGUAAUUAUAAAAAUAAAUAUAAAUUUCUGUCCACAGAAAUACCUGCAUGUGAAA